GUGGGGAAUAUUGGACAAUGGGCGAAAGCCUGAUCCAGCCAUGCCGCGUGUGUGAAGAAGGUCUUCGGAUUGUAAAGCACUUUAAGUUGGGAGGAAGGGCAGUAAGUUAAUACCUUGCUGUUUUGACGUUACCGACAGAAUAAGCACCGGCUAACUUCGUGCCAGCAGCCGCGGUAAUACGAAGGGUGCAAGCGUUAAUCGGGAUUACUGGGCGUAAAGCGCGCGUAGGUGGUUUUGUAAGUUGGAGGUGAAAUCCCCGGGCUCAACCUGGGAACUGCCUACAAAACUACAUGACUAGAGUACGGUAGAGGGUAGUGGAAUUUCCUGUGUAGCGGUGAAAUGCGUAGAUAUAGGAAGGAACACCAGUGGCGAAGGCGACUACCUGGACUGAUACUGACACUGAGGUGCGAAAGCGUGGGGAGCAAACAGGAUUAGAUACCCUAGUAGUCC
Molecule: ribosomal RNA, 450 nt
Filed under: uncultured bacterium
Lineage: Bacteria
Description: partial 16S ribosomal RNA
Rfam family: Bacterial small subunit ribosomal RNA
Source: RNAcentral